RNAcentral lists this ribosomal RNA (346 nucleotides) under uncultured bacterium. RNAcentral describes it as "partial 16S ribosomal RNA". It matches the Rfam family "Bacterial small subunit ribosomal RNA", at positions 338 to 681 of the family's 1533-position model. The record is from RNAcentral.
CCUACGGGGGGCAGCAGUGAGGAAUAUUGGUCAAUGGGCUUACGCCUGAACCAGCCAAGUCGCGUGAGGGAAGACUGCCCUAUGGGUUGUAAACCUCUUUUGUCAGGGAGCAAGUGGCGCUACGUGUAGCGUUAUCGAGAGUACCUGAAGAAAAAGCAGCGGCGAACCCCGUGCCAGCAGCCGCGGUAAUACGGAGGAUGCGAGCGUUAUCCGGAUUUAUUGGGUUGAAAGGGUGCGUAGGCGGAAUGCCAAGUCAGCGGUAAAAUCGCGGGGCUCAACCUCGCUCCGCCGUUGAAACGGGCGUUCUUGCGUGGGCGAGACGUCUGCGGCAUGCGUGGUGUAGCGG